AGAGUUUGAUCAUGGCUCAGAUUGAACGCUGGCGGCAGGCCUAACACAUGCAAGUCGAGCGGUAGCACAGAGAGCUUGCUCUCGGGUGACGAGCGGCGGACGGGUGAGUAAUGUCUGGGAAACUGCCUGAUGGAGGGGGAUAACUACUGGAAACGGUAGCUAAUACCGCAUAACGUCGCAAGACCAAAGUGGGGGACCUUCGGGCCUCAUGCCAUCAGAUGUGCCCAGAUGGGAUUAGCUAGUAGGUGGGGUAACGGCUCACCUAGGCGACGAUCCCUAGCUGGUCUGAGAGGAUGACCAGCCACACUGGAACUGAGACACGGUCCAGACUCCUACGGGAGGCAGCAGUGGGGAAUAUUGCACAAUGGGCGCAAGCCUGAUGCAGCCAUGCCGCGUGUGUGAAGAAGGCCUUCGGGUUGUAAAGCACUUUCAGCGGGGAGGAAGGCGNNNNNNNNNNNNNNNNNNNNNNNNCGAUUGACGUUACCCGCAGAAGAAGCACCGGCUAACUCCGUGCCAGCAGCCGCGGUAAUACGGAGGGUGCAAGCGUUAAUCGGAAUUACUGGGCGUAAAGCGCACGCAGGCGGUCUGUCAAGUCGGAUGUGAAAUCCCCGGGCUCAACCUGGGAACUGCAUUCGAAACUGGCAGGCUAGAGUCUUGUAGAGGGGGGUAGAAUUCCAGGUGUAGCGGUGAAAUGCGUAGAGAUCUGGAGGAAUACCGGUGGCGAAGGCGGCCCCCUGGACAAAGACUGACGCUCAGGUGCGAAAGCGUGGGGAGCAAACAGGAUUAGAUACCCUGGUAGUCCACGCCGUAAACGAUGUCGAUUUGGAGGUUGUGCCCUUGAGGCGUGGCUUCCGGAGCUAACGCGUUAAAUCGACCGCCUGGGGAGUACGGCCGCAAGGUUAAAACUCAAAUGAAUUGACGGGGGCCCGCACAAGCGGUGGAGCAUGUGGUUUAAUUCGAUGCAACGCGAAGAACCUUACCUGGUCUUGACAUCCACAGAACUUUCCAGAGAUGGAUUGGUGCCUUCGGGAACUGUGAGACAGGUGCUGCAUGGCUGUCGUCAGCUCGUGUUGUGAAAUGUUGGGUUAAGUCCCGCAACGAGCGCAACCCUUAUCCUUUGUUGCCAGCGGUCCGGCCGGGAACUCAAAGGAGACUGCCAGUGAUAAACUGGAGGAAGGUGGGGAUGACGUCAAGUCAUCAUGGCCCUUACGACCAGGGCUACACACGUGCUACAAUGGCAUAUACAAAGAGAAGCGACCUCGCGAGAGCAAGCGGACCUCAUAAAGUAUGUCGUAGUCCGGAUUGGAGUCUGCAACUCGACUCCAUGAAGUCGGAAUCGCUAGUAAUCGUAGAUCAGAAUGCUACGGUGAAUACGUUCCCGGGCCUUGUACACACCGCCCGUCACACCAUGGGAGUGGGUUGCAAAAGAAGUAGGUAGCUUAACCUUCGGGAGGGCGCUUACCACUUUGUGAUUCAUGACUGGGGUGAAGUCGUAACAAGGUAACCGUAGGGGAACCUGCGGUUGGAUCACCU
RNAcentral lists this ribosomal RNA (1533 nucleotides) under Klebsiella pneumoniae. RNAcentral describes it as "bacterial SSU rRNA". It matches the Rfam family "Bacterial small subunit ribosomal RNA". Lineage: Bacteria; Pseudomonadati; Pseudomonadota; Gammaproteobacteria; Enterobacterales; Enterobacteriaceae. The record is from RNAcentral.